AGUGAACGCUGGCGGUAGGCCUAACACAUGCAAGUCGAACGGCAGCACAGUAAGAGCUUGCUCUUACGGGUGGCGAGUGGCGGACGGGUGAGGAAUACAUCGGAAUCUACUUUUUCGUGGGGGAUAACGUAGGGACACUUACGCUAAUACCGCAUACGACCUACGGGUGAAAGCAGGGGAUCUUCGGACUUUGCGCGAUUGAAUGAGCUGAUGUCGGAUUAGCUAGUUGGCGGGGUAAAGGCCCACCAAGGCGACGAUCCGUAGCUGGUCUGAGAGGAUGAUCAGCCACACUGGAACUGAGACACGGUCCAGACUCCUACGGGAGGCAGCAGUGGGGAAUAUUGGACAAUGGGCGCAAGCCUGAUCCAGCCAUACCGCGUGGGUGAAGAAGGCCUUCGGGUUGUAAAGCCCUUUUGUUGGGAAAGAAAAGCAGCAGGUUAAUACCCCGCUGUUCUGACGGUACCCAAAGAAUAAGCACCGGCUAACUUCGUG
This 492-nucleotide ribosomal RNA is filed under the name uncultured bacterium. RNAcentral's name for it is "partial 16S ribosomal RNA". It matches the Rfam family "Bacterial small subunit ribosomal RNA", at positions 29 to 507 of the family's 1533-position model. The record is from RNAcentral.